RNAcentral lists this long non-coding RNA (1595 nucleotides) under Betta splendens (Siamese fighting fish). Its description in RNAcentral is "lncRNA (ENSBSLG00000020223.1)". Lineage: Eukaryota; Metazoa; Chordata; Actinopteri; Anabantiformes; Osphronemidae. The record is from RNAcentral.
AGCGCGCAGGGAUCGCGUUGCCGAAGUUCCCCCUCUGUGUGCAUUAUGAGAAGCAGCGUUAAAAUAAAGAUUAAUUACACGGGGACAUUCCACGGAGCUGCCAUGCAGGCAGCGGCGCAUCUCUGACGGAGGAACAGCUGGCUCGCAUCCGUCUUCCCUGAGUCAGCUGUUCCAAAAAAGAAGUCCCAGUAGAUGAAGCAGCGGCUAAACUUUACGUAGAUCUCAUUUCAUCCAAAGUGCGAUAAUAUGAAACGUUAUUGACGUGACACAGCCCUCCCUGUUGCAUUGUGAGCGUAUGAAAGCGCGACAGGAGCGUCGUCUCGUCCUGUCUUCACCUUCCCGUCCGCGUGGCACGCGGCGAUGAAUGACAGAAGCUGAAUCGCACCACGUGACAGACGCGUCGCCCACAAAUCAAGGCCUCUGAUCGCGGGAGUAACCGUGGAAAAUGGAGCAAAGUGCAAACCUAGCGCAGCCCCGGAGCGCGAGCGCGCGCAUGUACGCGCGUGGGCGCCUGAUUAUCUCCGAGCUCAAGGUCGGCUGCUGAACAGAGCCCUGGGUCACGUUCUCCCCAUCCCACACUGCGCUGACAUCAUCCUCACACUUCCAUCCAUCCACACCUUGAAUUCACCCUCACCAGCGUCAGAUGAGCACUUCUUCUGCUUCUCGACCAGUGACAAACCAGUGGUUUGGUCCACUUCCUCCUGGAUGAGGACGUCAGGCUCCGAGAAGGGAACGCUGCCACCUAGAGGCGGGCCGUGUUAACACCCAGAUGCUGGUUUCCCUUGCAGCCAUUUUGUUGUGAAUGAAAUCAUCAGCAACGUGUUGAGAGCCAGACAUUUGCUUGGCUGCUGCGAGCUGCCGCUGACGGAGCCCAGGGUGACUGGGCGUCAGCGGCAGCCCGUGACAGCGCUGUGCCGCCGGCGCGUCGUUACCGCUCUGUGCGUGUUCCCUGUGGCGGCGACUGGCUGCACAUGAAAGGCAACGGCAUGAGUUGUUUCCUGUUUUCCUGGCAAUGCUGCGCUUGACUCAGCGCGUGAGCUCACGGGCCGCGGCCGCUUGGUCCCAGUCGGCUCCGUGUCUGAGAGGCCGGUUCGACGCCGCGACCCGGCCGGUGGCCGAGAACAAACCGGGUCAAUGCGAAACCUGAAGCAGAAACCUGAAGUGUCAUUUAUUCACAACUCUGGGAAGAUCUCAUUGACUUUGUAGAUUAACAGCAGCCAAUGAUCCAACAAUGUAAAAACCUGCAUCUAGAGAAUUAAUAUAUGCUCCAGAAGACCAAUGUAUGUAUAACCUAGGCCAUGUUUUUUUAAUGUUAUGCAGUGACUUAUGAUGCAUCUGCUAUAGAAUAUUCCCAUUUGCAGGUUUGCAAAUGAGGCGCUUUAAAAAUAGCAUUAUUAGCAGUCAUCAGUUCCUGCCAAGCCGGUGGAGACAGACACUGAAAUGUGACCCUGGCACUGCAAGUACUUUAGAAAUCCCAGUUGCAUAGCAACGCAUCUCCAUCUGCAGCUAAGCUUCUCUCCAGCAAAGAAACAACUGUCAUUUUUUGCUUUACAGGCAGUUUUAUACAAUAAAACAUCCACAGGGGGAAAAAAACA